Molecule: microRNA precursor, 99 nt
Filed under: Pteropus vampyrus (large flying fox)
Lineage: Eukaryota; Metazoa; Chordata; Mammalia; Chiroptera; Pteropodidae
Description: miRNA (ENSPVAG00000027414.1)
Source: RNAcentral
AUGUGUAUAUAUAUAUGUGUGUAUGCAUGUAUGUAUGCAUAUUAUAUAUAUAUGUACACACACACACACACACACACACACACACACACACACACACAC